This is a long non-coding RNA of Biomphalaria glabrata, 1691 nucleotides long. RefSeq lists it as uncharacterized. NCBI's taxonomy places the organism in Eukaryota, Metazoa, Mollusca, Gastropoda, Planorbidae. The transcript is spliced from 2 exons. The record is from RefSeq and is a predicted model, not a curated record.
AUACAGCUACACUUCGUAUAAAAUUUGUUUUUACAAAACAAAAAGUGUUUUUGUUCUUACAAGAGUAUUUUAAAAUCUUGAUUCAGUUCGGGGUAAUGAUAGUUCGUUCGGUUCGGUCGUACGUGAGGUUCUAAUUCGGUUCGUUUGUUUCGGUUUGUUUUUCCCAUCGCUAAAUUAGAGAGCUCAUAAAAUAUUUGCCGCCCAUAUACUUCCUGUCAUCCCGUCUAUUUCUGUCUACGUCACGACUACUUAGACGUCCGCUUAAUCUAUAUUUAAAUGCGUUUAAAAACAUUUUUUUUUUUGGGUUGGGUGUUAAAAAAACUAUACGUUUUCAUUCACGCAUUCAGACUAGACGAAGCUUUCACUCAUUGGAAACAAAUCGCAUUACCUACGGGUAAAUCAAACAUGAACGCGGAUUCACGCAUAACACAUUUUUGUAUUUUAAAUAGUUUUUUGCUAAUUGUAUUUUUGAUCUAGUGUGAAUGGCGUUUCGAUCGUAGUGUUUGUAUUGUACGUAUAUAUGAAGUUUCGGUUGUAGUGUUUGUUGUGUACGUGUAAAUGACGCGUCAGUUGUAGUGUUUGUAGUGUACGUGUAAAGCUUCGAGUUUAUAAACGAUUUUUAUAUAUUGCAAACAACACCUUACACAGAUACUAGGGAAAUUACUUAAAUCAUGCAUCCCAAGCCAGGCGACAUUUCUUUUUGUCUGCAUACAUACAAUGUUAGAUUACACCCUAAAGUGCAAGACGGUGCAACAUAACAAGACUUUUUUUUACAAUACAAUUCAAGUCACUCCUAUAUAGAGGAACCUGAGUGGACAGCUGAUCUCAAAAACGUCUCGAACGAUUAUCCUAGAAAUGUAACAGAAAUGUGAUAAUAGAUAUGGUCUCCUUCAGUAGCGAAGCGAUUAUGGAUCAUCUCAUGGAAAUAAGAUGAAUGCCUGGGCAUUAGCUGUCGUCUGAGCAAUGUCGCCAGCACAUCAAUUUCUCCCCUCUUCACGCAGCUGAUGUAUCCAAAGGAACUGCAGUGCCGAUUCAGCUAGGGGUCAGCGACAUCGAAGGUUCACCCAGGGUGUAGCUAUAAUUUGGGUGCUGUAAACUGCCUUAUGCUCCUGAUUUUUCCUCAGGGUUGACUUCCGAAGCCUUUUCCAUGAUUGGGUAUAGCUGCUAGGAAACAGGUUUGAAUUCAGAGUUUUCCUUCUCCUAGAUUGGUAGCCAGCAAUGGCUAACGAGCCCCACCUGCCCGAAGCGCACUGGUUUAGGCGCCAGUUACUCGCCUUUGCCCCUUCUCCUGUUAUUGAGAACAGUUUCGCCGGACUCAAUAUCUGAACCACAAGUGAAGGCCAUGAGUUGGACUGGUUGUCAGAGGCUAUUUUAGACGCAUGCCAUUAGUAAGCAUUUUAUAGGUAGUAGAGUACCAUUACCACUUCCGGCAGUUGCAACCUUGCGUAACCUAACAGAAAUGUAUAACGCUGAGAAAAUAAUUACUAGCUCUUUAGCCACACGAGGAAAACUCAAUUUUGAAUGACGUCAGCCUGACAUUUCCACCUUACCUGCUCCUUCAAUUUAGCCUGGGAUGAAACAAGGUGUUGCUCAAAGAUCUGGACAUCAGAAAAGGUCAGCCCACAAUGGACACACUGUCCAACCAAAGAAUAACCCUUCUCACUGGCAUGGAUGCUGAUGUGAGUGCUAAA